RNAcentral lists this unclassified non-coding RNA (163 nucleotides) under uncultured Auriculariales. RNAcentral's name for it is "sequence contains ITS1". Lineage: Eukaryota; Fungi; Basidiomycota; Agaricomycetes; Auriculariales. The record is from RNAcentral.
AAGAUUCGACCUUUGGGUCUAUCUUCUCUUCAGCUGUGCGCUUAGGCUGCACGCUGUUGAAUUUCACACACCUGUGCACACUUCGGUUGUGACUAGUUAACUCUGGUCGCAUCCGCUUUUACAUUUAACAACCAAGUCUAGAAUGUCAAAUACAAUAAAAUAA